AUUAAAGCUCUCUUCGGAGAGUGUAUAGAGUGGCGCACGGGUGAGUAACACGUAAGUAAUCUACCCUCGAGUGGGGAAUAACGUCCGGAAACGGACGCUAAUACCGCAUAAUGCAGCGGCACCGCAAGGUGACAGUUGUUAAAGAUUAUCGCUUGAGGAGGAGCUUGCGGCAGAUUAGCUAGUUGGUAAGGUAAUGGCUUACCAAGGCUACGAUCUGUAACCGGUCUAAGAGGACGGUCGGUCACACUGACACUGAAUAACGGGUCAGACUCCUACGGGAGGCAGCAGUCGGGAAUUUUGGGCAAUGGGCGACAGCCUGACCCAGCAACGCCGCGUGAAGGAUGAAGUAUUUCGGUAUGUAAACUUCGAAAGAAUAGGAAGAAUAAAUGACGGUACUAUUUAUAAGGUCCGGCUAACUACGUGCCAGCAGCCGCGGUAAUACGUAGGGACCAAGCGUUGUUCGGAUUUACUGGGCGUAAAGGGCGCGUAGGCGGUGCGGUAAGUCACUUGUGAAAUCUCCGAGCUUAACUCGGAACGGCCAAGUGAUACUGCAGUACUAGAGUGCGGAAGGGGCAAUCGGAAUUCUUGGUGUAGCGGUGAAAUGCGUAGAUAUCAAGAGGAACACCUGAGGUGAAGACGGGUUGCUGGGCCGACACUGACGCUGAUGCGCGAAAGCCAGGGGAGCAAACGGGAUUAGAUACCCCGGUAGUCCUGGCCCUAAACGAUGAAUACUUGGUGUCUGGAGUCUUUAAUGCUCCGGGUGCCGUCGCUAACGUUUUAAGUAUUCCGCCUGGGGAGUACGCUCGCAAGAGUGAAACUC
This 820-nucleotide ribosomal RNA is filed under the name uncultured Bacillota bacterium. RNAcentral's name for it is "bacterial SSU rRNA". It matches the Rfam family "Bacterial small subunit ribosomal RNA", at positions 66 to 902 of the family's 1533-position model. The record is from RNAcentral. Lineage: Bacteria; Bacillati; Bacillota.